CCUACGGGGGGCAGCAGUGGGGAAUAUUGCACAAUGGGGGAAACCCUGAUGCAGCGACGCCGCGUGAGUGAAGAAGUAUUUCGGUAUGUAAAGCUCUAUCAGCAGGGAAGAAGAAAGACGGUACCUGACUAAGAAGCCCCGGAUAACUACGUGCCAGCAGCCGCGGGAAUACGUAGGGGGCAAGCGUUAUCCGGAUUUACUGGGGGUAAAGGGAGCGUAGACGGCUGUGCAAGUCUGAAGUGAAAGCCAAGGGCUCAACCCUGGGACUGCUUUGGAAACUGUGGAGCUAGAGUGCUGGAGGGGUAAGUGGAAUUCCGAGGGUAGCGGUGAAAUGCGUAGAUAUUAGGAGGAAAACCAGUGGCGAGGGCGGCUUACUGGACAGUAACUGACGUUGAGGCUCGAAAGCGUGGGGAGCAAACAGGAUUAGAUACCCGGUAGUC
This 440-nucleotide ribosomal RNA is filed under the name uncultured bacterium. RNAcentral's name for it is "partial 16S ribosomal RNA". It matches the Rfam family "Bacterial small subunit ribosomal RNA", at positions 338 to 795 of the family's 1533-position model. The record is from RNAcentral.